This 440-nucleotide ribosomal RNA is filed under the name uncultured bacterium. RNAcentral's name for it is "partial 16S ribosomal RNA". It matches the Rfam family "Bacterial small subunit ribosomal RNA", at positions 338 to 795 of the family's 1533-position model. The record is from RNAcentral.
CCUACGGGAGGCAGCAGUGGGGGAUAUUGCACAAUGGGGGAAACCCUGAUGCAGCGACGCCGCGUGGGUGAAGAAGCGCCUCGGCGCGUAAAGCCCUGUCAGCAGGGAAGAAAAUGACGGUACCUGAAGAAGAAGCCCCGGCUAACUACGUGCCAGCAGCCGCGGUAAUACGUAGGGGGCAAGCGUUAUCCGGAUUUACUGGGUGUAAAGGGGGCGCAGACGGCGAUGCAAGCCAGGAGUGAAAGCCCGGGGCCCAACCCCGGGACUGCUCUUGGAACUGCGUGGCUAGAGUGCAGGAGGGGCAGGCGGAAGUCCUGGUGUAGCGGUGAAAUGCGUAGAUAUCAGGAGGAACACCGAUGGCGAAGGCGGCCUGCUGGACUGCAACUGACGUUGAGGCCCGAAAGCGUGGGGAGCAAACAGGAUUAGAUACCCCAGUAGUC